CGAAACCUCCAUCUGAAGCGGCUGCAAUCCCGCCGGAAGUGGGUGCUUCCAACCGGAGGCGCCAUCGGCGUCUCACGAAAAAGACGAAGAGCCGGCGCGGAUGAAGAAGAAGUGGACGAAGGAGAAGUCCACACUGCCUCCAACCGGAGGCGCCAUCCACGCCUCACGAAAAAGACGAGGAGCCGCCGCAGACGAAGCUCCCGCUGCCUCCAGGGGAACGCCACCUCCAAGGGAUAUUCCGGUCCUCCCCAGUGUUAGGGGAGAGAAGGAAUACAAGGGAGAAGAGCAUAUGGAGGCGCGGUCCCGGAUCAGGCGCCUGGUGCGGAGCUCAAUCGGGAGGCCGAACUUCAAG
This 352-nucleotide long non-coding RNA is filed under the name Phoenix dactylifera (date palm). RNAcentral's name for it is "long non-coding RNA (PDAC_LNC022159)". The record is from RNAcentral. Lineage: Eukaryota; Viridiplantae; Streptophyta; Magnoliopsida; Arecales; Arecaceae.